This 390-nucleotide unclassified non-coding RNA is filed under the name soil metagenome. Its description in RNAcentral is "partial contains 5.8S ribosomal RNA, internal transcribed spacer 2, and large subunit ribosomal RNA". The stretch from base 1 to 122 matches the Rfam family "5.8S ribosomal RNA", at positions 35 to 154 of the family's 154-position model. The record is from RNAcentral.
GAUGAAGAACGCAGUGAAAUGCGAUACUUGGUGUGAAUUGCAGAAUCCCGUGAACCAUCGAGUCUUUGAACGCAAGUUGCGCCCGAAGCCACUAGGCCGAGGGCACGCCUGCCUGGGCGUCACACGUCGUUCCCCCCCCAUCUACUCCUUCGGGAUUGCGGGGGGCGGAUGAUGGCCUCCCGUGCGCCUCGCCGCGCGGUUGGCAUAAAUACCAAGUCCUCGACGACGCACGCCACGACAAUCGGUGGUUGCGAAACCUCGGUUGCCCGUCGUGUGCGUUCGUCGCGCAUCGAGGGCUCGAAAAAAUGCUCGGCUCCGGCUCGGCUUUCAAUGCGACCCCAGGUCAGGCGAGGUUACCCGCUGAAUUUAAGCAUAUCAAUAAGCGGAGGA